AUGCCGACGAAAUACCUGAUCGCCGCCCUCCCCGUACAAUCCGCCGGCGGCGACAUCACCGCCGCCGAAAACUCCCUCUGGCGCAGCCUCGAGGACUCCAUCUCCCAGCACGCCAUCGACACCCCCCUCUACCGCUUCACGGUCCCCGCCCUCAAAGGCGGCACGCUCGACUCCCUCCUCGCCCUCAGCGACGACCUCAUCAGGUCGAACCUCUUCAUCGAGGGGGCCUCGCACAGGAUCAGGAGGCAGAUCGAGGACCUGGAGCGCGACGGAGGCGCCGGCGAGGGCGGCGCCCUGAUCACCGUCGACGGCGUCCCGGUCGACUCCUACCUCUCCAGGUUUGUGUGGGACGAGCGGAAGUACCCAACAAAGUGGCCACUCAAGGACAUCAUCGCCAGCAUCCUGUCGCGGAUCGCCAAAAUCGAGGAUGAGAUCAAGGUUCAAUCAUCGAAGUAUAAUUCUUGUAAGAACCACCUGAGAACAAUCUACAGAAAGCAAAGUGUAAGUUUAGUCGUGCGUGAUCUGUCGAACCUGGUAAAACCAGAGGAUAUAAUCACUUCGGAACAUCUAGCAACACUUCUUGCCGUUGUUCCAAAAUACUCCCAGAACGACUGGUUGUCAUGCUAUGAGUCACUUGACACCUUUGUGGUACCGAGAUCAUCUAAAAGGCUUUAUGAGGAUGAUGAAUAUGCGCUCUACACCGUAACAUUAUUUGCUAAGGUUGUUGGCAACUUUAAAGCACAUGCUCAAGAGAAAGGUUUUCUGAUCCGUGAUUUUGUGUAUAGUCCUGAAGCACAGGAAAGUAAGGACGACCUGGAAAAGCUGCUGCAAGAUGAAGAAACUAUGAGAACGUCUCUUCUAGAAUUGUUAUAUGCCAGAUACAGUGAGGUAUUCAGUUCCUGGAUGCACAUAUGUGCUGUAUUUGUCUUUGCAGAGAGCAUUCUUAGAUAUGGUUUGUCACCAUCAAUCCUGUGUGUUGUUCUAGCACCGUCUACGGAGAGCGAGAAAAAAGUAAGGAACAUCUUAGAAGAGCAUUGUGGAAAUGCCAAUAGCAAUGAUUUCUGGAAAUCUGACGAUGAUGGUCUCGGAGGUGAAAUCCACCCUUAUAUAUCCUCCACCAUGAAUGUCGUGUGA
This 1134-nucleotide ribosomal RNA is filed under the name Triticum aestivum (bread wheat). RNAcentral describes it as "partial small subunit ribosomal RNA". The record is from RNAcentral. Lineage: Eukaryota; Viridiplantae; Streptophyta; Magnoliopsida; Poales; Poaceae.